UAGCUCAGUUGGUAGAGUGCUUGCCUAGCAUGCAGAAGGCCCUGGGUUCAAUCCCCAG
RNAcentral lists this transfer RNA (58 nucleotides) under Ictidomys tridecemlineatus (thirteen-lined ground squirrel). RNAcentral describes it as "Spermophilus tridecemlineatus (thirteen-lined ground squirrel) tRNA". It matches the Rfam family "tRNA", at positions 8 to 63 of the family's 71-position model. From Rfam's summary of the family: Transfer RNA (tRNA) molecules are approximately 80 nucleotides in length. The record is from Rfam by way of RNAcentral. Lineage: Eukaryota; Metazoa; Chordata; Mammalia; Rodentia; Sciuridae.